AACGCAAAUGGCGCUCUUGGGUAGCCCUAGGAGCACACCUCUCUCAGUAUCGGUUCAACAACCGCUCAGCAGCAUGCUUGAUGUAAGUCAAGUGCGUGUGGCUGGAAAAUGAGAGUCCGAGUGCUAGUCAUUCGGUCUCUUUAAAUACAUCGAGUUUGCACACGACUCUCCGGUCAAUGGUAUCUUUAUUGAUGCCUAGGCGGUGUCGGACUGUUUCUCACUAGUGACGUGAAUACUGACCUCCGGGUCUCCCGUUUACGUGUAACUGGCCGAGGGAUAUUUAGGUCCGGGAUAGCUGAACGACCGAAUCGGAGUAGUGCAGACGUGCCCCCCCAUAUGAUUGUGCAGCUCUGCUGUAUAGUCUGAAUUUUGAUCUGAGAUGAAGUGAGACAACCCCCUGAAUUUAA
RNAcentral lists this unclassified non-coding RNA (407 nucleotides) under uncultured fungus. RNAcentral's name for it is "sequence contains ITS2". Lineage: Eukaryota; Fungi. The record is from RNAcentral.